Molecule: ribosomal RNA, 497 nt
Filed under: uncultured bacterium
Lineage: Bacteria
Description: partial 16S ribosomal RNA
Rfam family: Bacterial small subunit ribosomal RNA
Source: RNAcentral
GGUGAACGCUGGCGGCGUGCCUAAUACAUGCAAGUCGAGCGAACAGACGAGGAGCUUGCUCCUCUGACGUUAGCGGCGGACGGGUGAGUAACACGUGGAUAACCUACCUAUAAGACUGGGAUAACUUCGGGAAACCGGAGCUAAUACCGGAUAACAUGAUGAACCGCAUGGUUCAACAGUGAAAGACGGUCUUGCUGUCACUUAUAGAUGGAUCCGCGCCGCAUUAGCUAGGUGGUAAGGUAACGGCUUACCAAGGCAACGAUGCGUAGCCGACCUGAGAGGAUGGACAGAGAAACAGGAAAUGAGACACGGUGAAGAGUGCGACGGGAGGCAGCAGUGGGGAAUAUUGGACAAUGGGCGCAAGCCUGAUCCAGCCAUACCGCGUGAGGGAAGAAGGCCUUCGGGUUGUAAAGCCCUUUUGUUAGGAAAGAAGAACAGCGGGUGAAUACCCCGCUGUUAUAAGGGGAGCCAAAGAAUAGGCACCGGCUGACUUCGUG